CCCGAACCAAACUCAAAUCAUCGUUACUACCCCCGUCUUCGUCCGUCGCUCCGGUGACCGUGCCGUCCAUCAUCUUCAUCACCAUUUCGCCAGGAUACUUGCCGGAGAAUAACAACCACCGUCGUCGCCUCCACUGUCGUCGUCUUGAGCGGCGGCGCCAGCUCCGUUUCUCACUCUCUUCAUCUCCCUAUCUUUGUCCGUCGCUACAGCCGUGCGCAGCCACCAUCACGGUGGCUGACCGUGUGUUCUCGAGAACCAGGGGUGUCUCGCUUGAAAAUCCACCGGCAUCGGUGCCGGUUCCGGCUCUGGUCGUCUUGACCAGCUGAACGAGAGGGAGGGAGAGGUACUGGUGAGGAUUUAUGCUUUUGAUUGUCUUUAUGUAUAAUCGAGUUUUAAAUGCGUUUUGAAAUAUAUAAAAAGGGUCGAGUGUUAGUGGUUUGAAAUAAAGGUAAGCAGUAUUCGUCGGAUGUUAUAACUUCAUUUGUAAUUUGUAAACGUCGCCCAAAAUAAAUAUAUAUUUAUAUUUAUUUUAUAAGAAGAACUCGAAAUCCGAUAAGUGUAGUUUUUAUAUCAUAAAUGCGUGUCGUGUUUCGGGUUUUUAACGAAAAUUGGGCAGAGUUUCCCCUGUUUUUAGGAUGCCCCGACAAUCAAGUCGUCGUUAUUUGUCAAAAAUCCAACGAUAAUCCAAUCACAAUUAUAUAUAUCUUUCGCAAAAUAUAACGAACACUAAAAUAAUUAAACU
This 742-nucleotide long non-coding RNA is filed under the name Helianthus annuus (common sunflower). Its description in RNAcentral is "sRNA HanXRQr2_Chr15g0704511". Lineage: Eukaryota; Viridiplantae; Streptophyta; Magnoliopsida; Asterales; Asteraceae. The record is from RNAcentral.